Molecule: unclassified non-coding RNA, 205 nt
Filed under: soil metagenome
Description: partial contains 5.8S ribosomal RNA, internal transcribed spacer 2, and large subunit ribosomal RNA
Source: RNAcentral
AACACUGUUAACCUGCGGUACCUGCGGAGGGAUCAUUACCGAGUUUACAACUCCCAAACCCCUGUGAACAUACCUAUACGUUGCCUCGGCGGAUCAGCCCGCGCCCCGUAAAACGGGACGGCCCGCCCGAGGACCCUAAACUCUGUUUUUAGUGGAACUUCUGAGUAAAACAAACAAAUAAAUCAAAACUUUCAACAACGGAUCU